GGGAGGAAAAGAAACUAACAAGGAUUUUCUUAGUAGCGGCGAGCGAAAAGAAAAUAGUUCAGCACUAAGUCACUUUGUCUUUAUGGCAAAUGUGAGAUGCAGUGUAUGGAAUGUCAAAUUUCUAGUAUGAGAAAUUAACGAUUUAAGUCCUUCUUAAAUGAGGCCAUUUACCCAAAGAGGGUGCCAGGCCCGUAUAACGUUAAUGAUUACUAGAUGGCAUUUCCAAAGAGUCGUGUUGCUUGAUAGUGCAGCACUAAGUGGGUGGUAAACUCCAUCUAAAACUAAAUAUAACCAUGAGACCGAUAGUAAACAAGUACCGUGAGGGAAAGUUGAAAAGAACUCUGAAUAGAGAGUUAAAUAGUACGUGAAACUGCUUAGAGGUUAAGCCCGAUGAACCUGAAUAUCCAUUAUGGAAAAUUCAUCAUUAUGAUUUUAAUAUUUGUAAUAUUAUAAUAAUGGUGUGCAUUUUUUCUAUAAAGGACAUUGUAAUCUAUUAACUUUAAUAUAUUUAUCAUAAGAUCAUUAGAUUAUGUUUAUUCAAAUUAUUUUGCUUGCAAUUUAAUAUCGAAUAAAUUCUUUUGAUUUGAUAAAGUGUUGAUAGAUUUAUUAUAUACAGUGCUUAAAUAUUUAUAUUUUAUAAUAUCAUAUUAAUCAAUGAUUUUUAUGUUCAUUAUAUGCACUUGUAUGAUUAACAAUGCGAAAGAUUCAGGAUACCUUCGGGACCCGUCUUGAAACACGGACCAAGGAGUCUAACAUAUUUGCAAGUUAUUGGGAAUAAAAACCUAAUAGCGAAAUUAACAUAACUUUAAUGGGAUUAGUUUUUAGCCUAUUUAUAGUCUAUUAAUUCAAUCCCGGGGCGUUCUAUACAGUUAUGUAUAAUAAUAUUUAUAUUAUUUAUACCUCUAACUAGAGCGUACCUUGAGCAUAUAUGCUGUGACCCGAAAGAUGGUGAACUAUACUUGAUCAGGUUGAAGUCAGGGGAAACCCUGAUGGAAGACCGAAACAG
RNAcentral lists this ribosomal RNA (1006 nucleotides) under Lucilia cuprina (Australian sheep blowfly). RNAcentral describes it as "eukaryotic LSU rRNA". It matches the Rfam family "Eukaryotic large subunit ribosomal RNA", at positions 51 to 883 of the family's 3401-position model. RNAcentral also lists the same sequence under 1 other name. The record is from RNAcentral. Lineage: Eukaryota; Metazoa; Arthropoda; Insecta; Diptera; Calliphoridae.